Long non-coding RNA from Panthera uncia (snow leopard), 427 nucleotides. RefSeq lists it as uncharacterized. Lineage: Eukaryota; Metazoa; Chordata; Mammalia; Carnivora; Felidae. The record is from RefSeq and is a predicted model, not a curated record. The transcript has 2 exons.
AUGACCAUGCAGAGGUGGCGCCGGGUCUCAAAGGAGCAGAACAUGCCGACCACAAAGGGGUUCUCGGCGAAGGAAAGAAGCCUACGAAAUAAUCACUUUCCUAUACAAAAAGCUACCAGAAAUCAAUAACAAAAAGCCCACCAAUGGAAGAGAAAAUACAGACAAGAUAUGUGAACUACAAUUAGAGCUCUUAACCAUAUGAAAAGAUGCUGAACCUCACAUGCAGUGGCCGAAGAGCAAAUCAAAACUACCCCAAGAUACAGUUUUUCACCUGGCAGACUGGCCAAAAGGAUCCAAAAAGCUGACACACUCUGGGUGAAGCUGUGUUGGAACAGGUACUUUUAUACCUUCCUAUCGGGUGUGUAAAAUGGUACAGCCUCCAUGCAAGGUACUCUGGCAUAUAAAAAGAAGUGCGCGUUCCCUUUGA